Molecule: ribosomal RNA, 308 nt
Filed under: Josa riveti
Lineage: Eukaryota; Metazoa; Arthropoda; Arachnida; Araneae; Anyphaenidae
Description: partial 16S ribosomal RNA
Source: RNAcentral
AAAGACUGAACAUUUUAACUAAUUUAUUAUAUAUUAAAUUUAUUUUAAGUGUAAAAAAACUUUAUAUAAAAAGAAGACGACAGACCCUAUUGAACUUAACUUCGUUAAACUGGGACAGUAAAUUAAUUAAUAUUUUAAUUAAAAUAUUUAUAUAAAAGACUAAUAAAAUUAAUUAAAGACAGUUACCAUAGGGAUACGCGUAAUAAAAAUUUAAAGACUUAUUAAAAUUAAAAGAUUACGCCCGAGUUGAAUUAAUUACCUAUUUAACGCAAUAGUUUAAAAGGAGCGUCGACUUUUAAAAAAUUACA